AUGGAGCAAAGCUUGUAUGAGAAUCCUACUGCACCAAGUGAGGAGAGCAAUGGUGAUGGCUACAACUACACAGGGGACCUAGACGUGGAUCCAUCUAGUGCUAUGUGGUAUCAGAGCCAUGGUUUCGAGGGCCACGCAGAUACUGAACUAGAACCAGCCCUACAGCCAAAUAUAGAGCAGCAACAGCUACACCACUUCCCUAUUCCACGACUACACCAACCUGACUUUAUCCACCCACACAUGAGUGUCAGCUCGAGGGAGUACAAGGAGGCUGCUACCUAUGCAAGGGUACUUGGGCUUGGCGCGAGUGGCAGCGACGGAAUGAGUAAGACAGAGGAGGACAUAAUCCUACGAGACAGAAGUAAUAGGAUGAAUAACAAUGGUUUGAGUGAGCAAGACCUUAUCUUUCGUUUGGGAUCAAGCGCCCAUGAUCAGCAUGGGGGUACUCCAGCUUCAGAAGAUCAAAGUGUUCUACCUAGACCGGUGCAACUUCCAAGCAACCCAAAAGUUGGCAAUGCUGGAACUUCUGGACUUAUGGGUGAAGAAGGCAAUCUGGGAGAUGUCCUUAAGUUCAUGGAGAAUUCUCGAAGGGAGUCCCAAGAUAACGAGAACCGCUUGCUCGAAGCGAUACUGACAAGACUAGUUCCUGGAGGAGCACACCUACCCGGUGUGGGAGUUAGCUUGGGAGAAUUUUUGAAAACCCAGCCACCCACAUUCUCCAAGGCGGUGGAUCCACUAGAGGCGGAUGGCUGGCUAUUAGAAGUAGAACAUAAUCUAGAAACCUUUCAAGACCUUGUCAACAAGGCCUUCGUACUGAAGAAUGAACAUGCCAACCUAAGUGAAGAGAGAAGGAAGAAAGCUAGGGUAGAUCCACACCCCAUGAUGCAGCACCCACGUCUUAUGAUGCAUGGACCAGUGCGUCCUCAUAUGCCACCACCACGGCCUAGAUUCCCUACUCAGCCAACCUUUGUUCCUAAAUGUGGGAAGUGUGGAAAGGGUCAUGCUACUCGUGAUUGUAUGACCGGUAUAGGACUUUGCUUCAAUUGUGGGAGACCAGGACACCACAAGCUCAAUUGCACCUCUCCUCCCGCAAAUCCUACAAGGCCACCUAUGCAGCAGACUCAAGUGCAUCGUCCACCAGCUGGGCGAGGACAAGGCGGACCUAUGAGCUAUGCAGCAAGAGGAGUUGGGCAUGGAGGACAAGUAGGAGGACAGCCAAGGCUGAAUUAUAUGGCUGCAGAGCAACUAGAAGAAGCUACAGAUGUUGUCAUCGGUAAACUACUCAUUCCUCCUUCAGUUGGUACAAUUCUUUUUGAUACCGGUGCCGCUCACUUGUUUAUUUCUCAAGAUUUCGUGAAUAAGAAUGGAUUAACAUGCACACCGUUGGAAAAAGCUUUAGGAGUUAACUCACCUGGAGGGAAGAUUACAGUAGAGGCAAUGUGCAGAAAUCAACCAAUAACAAUCCAGAACACCAAUUUUUUAGCAAACCUGCAUGUCAUAGAGAUGUCAGGGUUAGAAAUAAUCCUUGGGAUGGAUUGCUUGGCUGCUAAUGGAGUGAUAGUAGAUUAUGAACAUAAAGGAGGAAGGCUAGAACAAGAACUUAGCCAACUGGACUGGGAUCUGGAAGUAGGAGCAACACUAGAAGAAACAGCAGAGAAGGCAAAAGAAGAAAGGGAGAGGAACAAGCGCGUCACUAACCUGCACUUAUGCUUGAUAUGCUCCAUGGCUAUGCCUUUGAACUCUGAUCUGCAACACCCAGCGCACCGCGGCCGCCAACGCCGGGAGCUUCGAUCUGGAGCAGCGAAAUCAAAGCCCAAUAAGAGCCUCACCUGCAAGUCAAAUCUGAGAGGGGAUUAG
This 1857-nucleotide ribosomal RNA is filed under the name Triticum aestivum (bread wheat). RNAcentral's name for it is "partial small subunit ribosomal RNA". The record is from RNAcentral. Lineage: Eukaryota; Viridiplantae; Streptophyta; Magnoliopsida; Poales; Poaceae.